GGUGGUUUGUCGCGUUGUUCGUGAAAACCGGGGGCUUAACCCUCGGCGUGCGGGCGAUACGGGCAGACUGGAGUACUGCAGGGGAGACUGGAAUUCCUGGUGUAGCGGUGGAAUGCGCAGAUAUCAGGAGGAACACCGGUGGCGAAGGCGGGUCUCUGGGCAGUAACUGACGCUAAGGAGCGAAAGCGUGGGGAGCGAACAGGAUUAGAUACCCUGGUAGUCCACGCCGUAAACGGUGGGUACUAGGUGUGGGUUUCCUUCCUUGGGAUCCGUGCCGUAGCUAACGCAUUAAGUACCCCGCCUGGGGAGUACGGCCGCAAGGCUAAAACUCGAAGGAAUUGACGGGGGCCCGCACAAGCGGCGGAGCAUGUGGAUUAAUUCGAUGCAACGCGAAGAACCUUACCUGGGUUUGACAUGCACAGGACGGCGCUAGAGAUAGUGCUUCCCUUGUGGCCUGUGUGCAGGUGGUG
RNAcentral lists this ribosomal RNA (470 nucleotides) under Mycobacterium sp. RNAcentral describes it as "bacterial SSU rRNA". It matches the Rfam family "Bacterial small subunit ribosomal RNA", at positions 574 to 1043 of the family's 1533-position model. Lineage: Bacteria; Bacillati; Actinomycetota; Actinomycetes; Mycobacteriales; Mycobacteriaceae. The record is from RNAcentral.